GCCCGCACCUUUGGACCGAGGAACCUCGCCCACGAGUCCUAAUAAAGGCUAUUCUCACCGCCAUUUGCCUUGUGUCUUCGUUCCCGGUUCGGCUCCAGCCUCAGUUUACCUUUACAUUUGGUGCCGAAACCCAGGAGGAGACCCCCUCCCCGGACCCCUGCCAGGUCGGGUAGGCUCUCCUCUUCCCGAGCCAGGACCUCCUUUCCAAGCCAGGAGCCAUUUCACUAAAUCCAAGACUCAAUUUGUUCACUGCUGGAUGGGCCACUGGAAGUCGGACUGCCCCAACCUGAGGACGGUCGCUACGUCUCCAGGUGACGACCCUCCUCCAGGUACUGGAGGCGCCUUCCAACUCCUCGACACCGACGAAGAUUGAAGAGGCCCAGACUCGGGAACCCCUCUUACUCUCACCGAGCCCAGGGUUAUGCUCCAGGUAGCGGCUCCCUGUGUCCUCCGCUUCAUCCAGGACUGCAUGAAAGAAGUCUCCCAUGUCACUUUCAAUCAGAUGCUGCUCCACACCUAUACCCGAGUUCCGACCUCCGAAGAACCCCACGAGGACCCAUACCAGCAGGAAGCAGCCAGAGGAACACGUCGCCCCAUUUUCUUAUUAGAAAGAGGUCGGAAUGUUGGGUCUAGGAAUCUACACCCAACAUGGCGGCGUUACCCAGCGUAGCAGGCCUUUUGUUAAAGACUCCCUUCACCCUUGUACACACCCGCAGACUUACAUGCGUCAGAGUUCCGGCUGGGCAACCACACUCCCCCAUGACCUGCAGUUCACCUGCAUUCCACAAGUUCGUAAACAGCAGUUUCGGUUAACAGUUUCCAAAGACCCCUUCCUCAUGACCCUUACUCGACUCCUGCCCUAGUAGUUUCAAGAGCCCCCCAGGCCCUGCUUGUACAACCAGCUUCCCUACCUCUCGGGCUGUAAAAAGCCCCUACCCUCCUCCCUCAGCGUGACUUCCUCGGCCCGCACCUUUGGACCGAGGAACCUCGCCUGCGAGUCCUAGUAAAGGCUAUUCUCACUGCCA
Molecule: non-coding RNA, 1025 nt
Organism: Macaca mulatta (Rhesus monkey)
Lineage: Eukaryota; Metazoa; Chordata; Mammalia; Primates; Cercopithecidae
Source: RefSeq, a predicted model, not a curated record